ACAUCAAGUUGAGAUAAGCUGUCCUGCAGGCAAUGUUUGUGUUGACUCUGCACAUUUGUGAGCAUUCCCUAUGUAUAUGUACAGGUGAUGCAGAUGUCCAGAGUAUGAAGCAGCCUCCGGGCAGCAGCUGCCUGAAGGUUUGGCUGGAGUUUCUUGUGUUGAGCUUGCAGCUCACCAGGACCUCAGGUUGUCCUUGUCUCUUGUUUGUUAACUUUCAGCUUCUUUUCCCAACACAUUAAAGAAAUGUGCUUCAAAGGCAAGGAAGACAGCUAACAUCAAGAUGGGACGGAUAUUUUUCAUGGUAUUAUAUGAUUGUUUGUUUUUUUAAAUUAGAAUCUUCUUUUCAUACUGACAAAUGUUGGAACCCUAAACUUGAUAUGAUGUGUAGUAAUACAAGGAGAUUCAUAUAAGUUCAUGCCAGUCAUUUCAAAAUACAAAGAGAUGUUCAAACUCUGAAUAUCAUAAGAAACUUGAAGCAUUAGACUAAGAAAGGUGAAACUUUAAGAAGACGUGUAGGACAAUAAUGUGAUUUGUAUUUGUUCAUUACAAGGAAUUUAAAGGAUUAUUAAAAAUGACACUAACUGAGCAUUUUUCUUACAUACUGCCAUUCAAACAUGAAAUUAUAUCAAAUCUGCUUCAUUGAUUUUUGAAAACAAUUCGUUAUAAUUAUAAUUAUGCUCCCAAACCUAGAACACUUUGGCCCCGCCCACUCGUAUGCAUAUUUUUCAUUUAAGCGGUCAGCCUUCUGUGGCUGUGAUGUCAUACCAGCCAGUCUGCUAUGUGUUGAUCAUUCGUGUUUACGCGAGGCUAUUGACUGGAAAGUGAUGCAAAAUGAAUUUUGAAUUGAGUUGUAGCGACAAUAUGCUGUAUUGUCUUGCAAUCGGUACACUUCCAGUGCUAUGAAGACUUCUGGUCUUCAUUUCCUGGAUUUCCCCGCGAUCUGCCCAAAAGAGAGCUAUGGCUGGUGUAUUGUCGACGUGCUGAUGUUAAGUAAAAAACAUAAGCAAAUACAACACGUUUUGUACAUUACAUUUCACAAAGAAGAAUUAUGAAAGGGGUCCAGAGUUCAUGGCACAGUAUGGCUACACGAAAUCUAAACCCAAGCUUUUUAAGCUAUCGACGGCAAGAUCAAGACUAUGGUCACUAACAAUGCCAGGUUCACCGAGAGGGGGUCUUUUCAGAAGCCACGAUGGAGAACAAAUAGAAGUGAGUGAAGUAGAUUUAAACUUGAUUGACAAUAUCAAGUUGUAUGAUAUUACCUGGUCGCUUGUAUCUUUCACAGUUUUCAUUUACCAUAGAUUAAUUUCACUGUAUUUUGUUUUUAUGUCACGGUUUUCAGGCAAGUUGUAGGUUUUGGCAGUAGGCUUGUCAUUCAUUAGAGAUUGGGCAUUCGUACUACAUGCACUAGUCGCAAGGCUACUUGGUUUUUAAAAAGAAUUGUCAUAAUUGUUAUGAUUUGUAUAAUUUAUGUAAAAUCCUAAACUCAAAAUUAAUUAUUUUCCGGUUUUAGGAUCUGAAAAAAGCCCAUGAUAGUUUCAAAGCAGCACAAGAUUGUGGACAGUCCCAUCCCGAUAUUCAGCGGGACAUGUCAACAUCACACGUCACUAUCACUUGCUAGUGGAAAACACCAUUUUGAGUGUCAGAUGUCAUGAAUGGUCACUCGAUACCGGACAUCACCAGAGAUCACCUGUCAGAAGAAUCACAAGAUGCAUUCAGGCAAGACCAGUGACCAAGCCCAUGGCUGUACAGAGUGUCCUGUACAAGGGGAUGUUCGAAGAUGACAUGGCCAUUGAGGAAGAUAAGGCUGAGAAAACCACAUGUCUGAUCCAGAUUAUUUCCCUGACAACAAUCUGUCAGAUGAAAAACACGAGGAUCAGUGCCACACUGU
Long non-coding RNA from Haliotis rufescens (red abalone), 1888 nucleotides. RefSeq lists it as uncharacterized. The record is from RefSeq and is a predicted model, not a curated record. NCBI's taxonomy places the organism in Eukaryota, Metazoa, Mollusca, Gastropoda, Lepetellida, Haliotidae. The transcript is spliced from 3 exons.